GUCUAUAGCCGUACCACCCUGAAUGUUCCUGAUCUUGUCUAAUCCCAGAAGAUAAGCAGGGUCAGGCUUCACUGGUACUUGGAUGGGAGACCUCCUGCGAAUACUGUGUGCUGGAGGAA
Otolemur garnettii (small-eared galago) is the source of this 119-nucleotide ribosomal RNA. The record is from Ensembl. NCBI's taxonomy places the organism in Eukaryota, Metazoa, Chordata, Mammalia, Primates, Galagidae.